Molecule: ribosomal RNA, 377 nt
Filed under: uncultured bacterium
Lineage: Bacteria
Description: bacterial SSU rRNA
Rfam family: Bacterial small subunit ribosomal RNA
Source: RNAcentral
UAAGACGUAGGGUCCGAGCGUUGUCCGGAGUUACUGGGCGUAAAGGGCGCGUAGGCGGCUGUGUGCGUCACACGUGAAAGCCCCUGGCUUAACCAGGGAGGGUCGUGUGAAACGGCGCAGCUGGAGGCAGAGAGAGGCUGGUGGAAUUCCCGGAGUAGUGGUGAAAUGCGUAGAUAUCGGGAGGAACACCGGUGGCGAAGGCGGCCAGCUGGCUCUGACCUGACGCUGAGGCGCGAAGGCGUGGGGAGCGAACGGGAUUAGAUACCCCGGUAGUCCACGCAGUAAACGAUGUGGACUAGGUGUGGGGGGAGUUGACCCCCUCCGUGCCGGCGCAAACGCAGUAAGUCCACCGCCUGGGGAGUACGGCCGCAAGGCUA